RNAcentral lists this microRNA precursor (80 nucleotides) under Medicago truncatula (barrel medic). RNAcentral describes it as "MIR5269 microRNA precursor family". It matches the Rfam family "MIR5269 microRNA precursor family". Lineage: Eukaryota; Viridiplantae; Streptophyta; Magnoliopsida; Fabales; Fabaceae. The record is from Rfam by way of RNAcentral.
UUGGGUAAAAUUAAUGUGAAUCCCACACUUUGAAAAUGGAUCCCACAUAAAGUUGUAGGACUCACAUUGAUUUUGGCCAA